This 487-nucleotide ribosomal RNA is filed under the name uncultured bacterium. RNAcentral's name for it is "partial 16S ribosomal RNA". It matches the Rfam family "Bacterial small subunit ribosomal RNA", at positions 29 to 523 of the family's 1533-position model. The record is from RNAcentral.
AGUGAACGCUGGCGGCGUGCUUAACACAUGCAAGUCGAACGAGAACGGGUUAUAGCUUGCUAUAAUUGUCAGCUAAGUGGCGCACGGGUGAGUAAUGUAUAGGUAAUAUGCCUCUUACUAAGGGAUAACAAAUGGAAACGUUUGCUAAUACCUUAUACUCCUUAUUAACAGAAGUUAAUAAGGGAAAGAUUUAUUGGUAAGAGAUUAGCCUGUAUUGUAUCAGUUAGUUGGUGAGGUAAUGGCUUACCAAGACUAUGACACAUAACUGGUUUGAGAGGAUGAUCAGUCACACUGGAACUGAGACACGGUCCAGACUCCUACGGGAGGCAGCAGUAGGGAAUAUUGCACAAUGGAGGAAACUCUGAUGCAGCGACGCCGCGUGAGUGAUGAAGGACUUCGGUUUGUAAAGCUCUGUUGUUAGGGAAUAAAAAAAUGAAUGUACCUGACGAGAAAGGACCGGCUAACUUCGUGCCAGCCGCCGCGGUAA